UGGGGAAUAUUGGACAAUGGGCGAAAGCCUGAUGCAGCGACGCCGCGUGAGCGAUGAAGCCCUUCGGGGUGUAAAGCUCUUUCGGCAGGGAAGAUAAUGACGGUACCUGCAGCAGCAGCUGCGGCUAACUACGUGCCAGCAGCCGCGGUAAUACGUAGGCAGCAAGCGUUGUUCGGAGUUACUGGGCGUAAAGGGUGCGUAGGCGGCUAUUUAAGUUUGGUAUGAAAUCUCCCGGCUCAACCGGGAGGGUGCGCCGAAUACUGAGUGGCUAGAGUGCGGGAGAGGAAAGUGGAAUUCCUGGUGUAGCGGUGAAAUGCGUAGAUAUCAGGAGGAACACCGGUGGUGUAAACGGCUUUCUGGACCGUAACUGACGCUGAGGCACGAAAGCGUGGGUAGCAAAC
This 401-nucleotide ribosomal RNA is filed under the name uncultured bacterium. RNAcentral's name for it is "bacterial SSU rRNA". It matches the Rfam family "Bacterial small subunit ribosomal RNA", at positions 355 to 773 of the family's 1533-position model. The record is from RNAcentral.